AACGCACCUUGCACCCUUUGGUAUUCCGAAGGGUACACCCGUUUGAGUGUCAUUGUAAUCUCACUACAAUCGACUUUUUGUCUUUCCGUAUGUGGACUUGGAUGCUGUCGUGAUAUUCACGACUCGUCUGAAAUGCCUGAGUGUACCCCGCUUUGCGGCGUAUUCGGUGUGAUACAUCUUCACCGGAGUUGAUCCUUUUGGGUCGCGUCUGUAAUGGUGUGGCUCUAUGCUUCGAACCGUCUCUCCCAGAGACAACCUCUGACAAUUUGACCUCAAAUCGGGUGGGACUACCCGCUGAACUUAA
RNAcentral lists this unclassified non-coding RNA (304 nucleotides) under uncultured Sebacinaceae. RNAcentral describes it as "sequence contains ITS2". Lineage: Eukaryota; Fungi; Basidiomycota; Agaricomycetes; Sebacinales; Sebacinaceae. The record is from RNAcentral.